This 1206-nucleotide long non-coding RNA is filed under the name Felis catus (domestic cat). Its description in RNAcentral is "lncRNA (ENSFCAG00000047957.1)". Lineage: Eukaryota; Metazoa; Chordata; Mammalia; Carnivora; Felidae. The record is from RNAcentral.
ACUCACAGGGCUCUGCCUGCAGAACAGAACCUGCCUUUGGUUGUCGGCGCCACCAGCUUUCUCACUGCACGACUCCGAGCCUCAGUCUCCCCAUCUGUAAAACAGGAAUGCACGGCGAGGGCCUGGCCGGUGCUCAUCCCUCCACAGAUGGGGUCAGGGGCGCUUCCCGACCAGUACAUGGAUGUGCAGAUGUGCUCAGACAUUGGCACACGCGCGCUUCGCCGCCUUCUUCGAGCGGCCUGCCUGGGACGCUUCUCUGCCCGCUCGCCGCUUCUAGACUCCUCUGGCCUCCCCGGCCAGGUGGAGGCCGGAGGGUCCUGCCGGGCUGUGGCCUCCCUUGGCGGAUGCGGUCGCCCCGAACCUCGGUUUCCCCAUCCGCAGACAGCGUCCCCUCCAGGGGUUUCUCGCGGCGGCCACAGGAAGCAUCUGGAGUUCUGGGUCGAUUCUGAAGCCACAGCCUCUGUCGGGACGUCAUCCGGAACUCCGGCUGGGUGGUUCCUGAGUCUACACAGCGUGGGCGUCGGCCGGUACGCAGCGGGGUGGAAGCGAAGGGGGGGAUGAUGGUUCACGGGGAGACUCACCCUCAGAGGCCCCACGGUAGGUGGGGCCUGUCCCCGCAGUGAGAGAUCAAGGUCCGUCAGAGCUGGUGAUGGACCACGGAAUGCAGAGUCACGGCCGUGUGUGUGCAAGACAGGCUGAGGACAGGGGAAGGGCUGGGGUGCAGAGGGGCGGCCUGGGGCAGCCGGGCAGCGUGUGCAGCUGAGCCCCAGGUGGGCAGCUGACUCUGCCUUCUGCAGAAACCCUAGCGGCCAGGAUCUCAUCGCCAGGGGUUGUGGGGCCAGUGGAAGUCAUACAACUUGGUGACGGCGGGGAAGUGGCCAGACCUCCACCUGCCCUGGUUUCUUUCUCUGUAGAAUGGGCACAACUGUAGUUACUUUGUCAUUUGCUGCGAGAUGAAAUGAAGCGUCAGGGCAGAGGGCUGCCCUCACGCCAUUCACAGAGGCUGGGCCGUCAACCUUGGGGCCAUUUCUGUCAAUUCGAGGAUAUCCCAGCACUGCCCUUUGUGAGUUGUCUGACAUUGGGCAAGCUUCUGAAGCCCUGUCCCUCAGCAUCCUCGCCUGUGAGGGUAAAUAUAUAGCUCUAUUUCACAGGACUGGGGGUACCAUGGUCAACCUAUGGAGAGCCCAUGGAACAAUGUCUGGUGGG